AUCAUUACAGUAUUCUUUUUGCCAGCGCUUAAUUGCGCGGCGAAAAAACCUUACACACAGUGUUUUUUGUUAUUACAAGAACUUUUGCUUUGGUCUGGACUAGAAAUAGUUUGGGCCAGAGGUUUACUGAACUAAACUUCAAUAUUUAUAUUGAAUUGUUAUUUAUUUAAUUGUCAAUUUGUUGAUUAAAUUCAAAAAAUCUUCAAAACUUUCAACAACGGAUCUCUUGGUUCUCGCAUCGAUGAAGAACGCAGCGAAAUGCGAUAAGUAAUAUGAAUUGCAGAUUUUCGUGAAUCAUCGAAUCUUUGAACGCACAUUGCGCCCUCUGGUAUUCCAGAGGGCAUGCCUGUUUGAGCGUCAUUUCUCUCUCAAACCUUCGGGUUUGGUAUUGAGUGAUACUCUUAGUUGAACUAGGCGUUUGCUUGAAAUGUAUUGGCAUGAGUGGUACUGGAUAGUGCUAUAUGACUUUCAAUGUAUUAGGUUUAUCCAACUCGUUGAAUAGUUUAAUGGUAUAUUUCUCGGUAUUCUAGGCUCGGCCUUACAAUAUAACAAACAAGUUUGACCUCAAAUCAGGUAGGAUUACCCGCUGAACUUAAGCAU
Molecule: ribosomal RNA, 600 nt
Filed under: Debaryomyces hansenii
Lineage: Eukaryota; Fungi; Ascomycota; Pichiomycetes; Serinales; Debaryomycetaceae
Description: eukaryotic LSU rRNA
Rfam family: 5.8S ribosomal RNA (bases 207-360)
Source: RNAcentral